RNAcentral lists this long non-coding RNA (580 nucleotides) under Homo sapiens (human). Its description in RNAcentral is "HSALNT0161745". The record is from RNAcentral. Lineage: Eukaryota; Metazoa; Chordata; Mammalia; Primates; Hominidae.
AGAGGAACUGGCGUAGCGUCCUGGUAGACAUGCUGCAGCCCCGCCGUCCCCGGCUUCUCCGUGAGGUCCCCGGGACUCCUCGCCACCACCUGGCACUGGCCCCCGGCUGCCUGCUCCUGGAGUCGCGCGGGGCCCCCUCUCCGUCCCUGCCCAACCCGCGGAGGCUUACCUCACUCUCUCUUCGGGUUGCAUUCGCCAUAAGAGAGCCGGUAGACCCCUGAAAUCCCGGGACCGCCUCCCACGCAAAACGUGAGACAAACAAAAGGAAAGGCGGAAACGCAGAAACGCAGAGGUAGCCAGUGGAUGAGGCAUGCGCAGAGCCCACGCUCAAAGCCUGGCGCUGUUGGCGCCCAACCUGGAAACUACCUUUCCCGUGAGGACGCGAGAGCAGCCCUUCGGGAUUGGCAGAGAGGUGCCCCGCUAGGCAGUGGACAGAUGCGGUCUGAGUUGGUGUGGGAACUGCCCGCAGCCCUGGCUCUCCCGGGGCGACCCAAAGGGAUGCACUGCAGGGGAGGUCUGUGUGCAGCAAGUGUGCAGUGUAUUGUGUACUUUACAAAAGCAUUGUCAACUUUAUCCAGAG